GCAGGCUGCAACCCGCCCUGCAUGAAGUCGGAAUUGCUAGUAAUCGCGGAUCAGCAUGCCGCGGUGAAUACGUUCCCGGGCCUUGUACACACCGCCCGUCACACCAUGAGAGCCGGGGGGACCCGAAGUCCGUAGCUUAACCGUAAGGAGGGCGCGGCCGAAGGUAAAACUGGUGAUUGGGGUGAAGUCGUAACAAGGUAGC
Molecule: ribosomal RNA, 202 nt
Filed under: uncultured bacterium
Lineage: Bacteria
Description: partial 16S ribosomal RNA
Rfam family: Bacterial small subunit ribosomal RNA
Source: RNAcentral